Molecule: ribosomal RNA, 922 nt
Filed under: uncultured Paludibacter sp.
Lineage: Bacteria; Pseudomonadati; Bacteroidota; Bacteroidia; Bacteroidales; Paludibacteraceae
Description: bacterial SSU rRNA
Rfam family: Bacterial small subunit ribosomal RNA
Source: RNAcentral
UGAUACGUAGGGUGCAAGCGUUAAUCGGAAUUACUGGGCGUAAAGCGUGCGCAGGCGGUUGUGUAAGUCUGAUGUGAAAGCCCCGGGCUUGACCUGGGAACUGCAUUGGAGACUGCACAGCUAGAGUGCGUCAGAGGGGGGUAGAAUUCCGCGUGUAGCAGUGAAGUGCGUAGAGAUGUGGAGGAAUACCGAUGGCGAAGGCAGCCCCCUGGGAUGAUACUGACGCUCAUGCACGAAAGCGUGGGGAGCAAACAGGAUUAGACACCCUGGUAGUCCACGCCCUAAACGAUGUCAAUUAGCUGUUGGGGGUUUGAAUCCUUGGUAGCGUAGCUAACGCGUGAAAUUGACCGCCUGGGGAGUACGGCCGCAAGGUUAAAACUCAAAGGAAUUGACGGGGACCCGCACAAGCGGUGGAUGAUGUGGAUUAAUUCGAUGCAACGCGAAGAACCUUACCUGCUCUUGACAUGUCAGGAAGCUUCCAGAGAUGGGAGUGUGCCCGAAAGGGAGCCUGAACACAGGUGCUGCAUGGCUGUCGUCAGCUCGUGUCGUGAGAUGUUGGGUUAAGUCCCGCAACGAGCGCAACCCUUGUCAUUAGUUGCCAUCAUUAAGUUGGGCACUCUAAUGAGACUGCCGGUGACAAACCGGAGGAAGGUGGGGAUGACGUCAAGUCCUCAUGGCCCUUAUGAGCAGGGCUUCACACGUCAUACAAUGGUCGGUACAGAGGGUCGCGAAGCCGCGAGGUGGAGCCAAUCUCACAAAGCCGAUCGUAGUCCGGAUCGCACUCUGCAACUCGAGUGCGUGAAGUCGGAAUCGCUAGUAAUCGCAGAUCAGCAUGCUGCGGUGAAUACGUUCCCGGGUCUUGUACACACCGCCCGUCACACCAUGGGAGUGGGGGAUACCAGAAGUGGGUAGGCUAACCGUA